This 253-nucleotide ribosomal RNA is filed under the name uncultured bacterium. RNAcentral describes it as "partial 16S ribosomal RNA". It matches the Rfam family "Bacterial small subunit ribosomal RNA", at positions 524 to 776 of the family's 1533-position model. The record is from RNAcentral.
UACGGAGGGUGCAAGCGUUAUCCGGAUUCACUGGGUUUAAAGGGUGCAUAGGCGGGCAGGUAAGUCCGUGGUGAAAUCUCUGAGCUUAACUCAGAAACUGCCAUGGAUACUAUUUGUCUUGAAUAUUGUGGAGGUAAGCGGAAUAUGUCAUGUAGCGGUGAAAUGCUUAGAUAUGACAUAGAACACCAAUUGCGAAGGCAGCUUACUACACAGUUAUUGACGCUGAGGCACGAAAGCGUGGGGAUCAAACAGG